ACUCCUACGGGAGGCAGCAGUGAGGAAUAUUGCGCAAUGGGCGAAAGCCAGACGCAGCAACGCCGCGUGGACGAUGAAGGCCUUCGGGUCGUAAAGUCCUUUUCAGGGGGACGAGUGAGGACGGUACCCCUGGAAUAAGUCACGGCUAACUACGUGCCAGCAGCCGCGGUAAAACGUAGGUGGCAAGCGUUAUCCGGAUUCACUGGGCGUAAAGCGCCUGCAGGCGGUCCUGUAAGUGGGACGUGAAAUCUCUUGGCUUAACUGGGAGGGGUCGUUCCAUACUGCAGGGCUAGAGGGCAGAAGAGGGAAGUGGAAUUCCCGGUGUAGUGGUGAAAUGCGUAGAUAUCGGGAGGAACACCAGUGGCGAAGGCGGCUUCCUGGUCUGCACCUGACGCUAAGAGGCGAAAGCUAGGGGAGCGAACGGGAUUAGAAACCCCGGUAGUCCUAGCCGUAAACGAUGGAUGCUGGGUGUCGGUGGUCCUAACCCCAUCGGUGCCGAAGCCAACGCGUUAAGCAUCCCGCCUGGG
Molecule: ribosomal RNA, 527 nt
Filed under: uncultured bacterium
Lineage: Bacteria
Description: bacterial SSU rRNA
Rfam family: Bacterial small subunit ribosomal RNA
Source: RNAcentral